GGAACAUUUUAGAUCAUUAUUUUCUAAAUGUGGUAUCUUAUUAUUUACGUGUUUUUUUGGCUUUUUUUUUUGGCUUUUUUUUUGGGCUUUUUUCCCCUCCAUCAUUUGACAAACUGCUAUGAUACAGAAAAUCAAUAAUGUUAUAUAUUUUUUAAUUAAAUUCAGGAAUAAUAAAAAGGUAUGACCUAACACUAAAUGGACUAAUAAACACUAACCACACCCAAGAAAGAAAUUCUUAACCAGGAAACAAAGCAAAACAAUAAUUUAGGUUGUAAUACCCGCUAAGUUAAAAAAAAAAAAAAUGUUUCUUCAGCACACACACUUCAUUAAUUUUUUUACAUAGAAAAACAUAGAAAAAGAUUCAUAGCUGGUAUCAUGGGAAACGCUAGCAUCGAAAAAAAAUUGCUGUUCUCACCUGCUACCCACACACACACAUCCGUGCUAAGAUAUGCUAGCAAACACGGAUGUGUGUGCUCAUACACUCUAAUCAAAAACCCACCCAGAAACACGUGAACAUGAAUGGUAAUGUCCUCUCUGUCGCUAUCGCUCACUUUCUAUUCCAGUCACACUCACGCUUGUACACACACUUCACUAGGCUUGGUGUGAUGGUGGCUAAUUUAGCGCUUAUGUGGUAUAGAGGUAAUAGGAUCUGUAAGCAUAGUCUCUCUCUCUAUCUCUAUCUCUGUCUCUCUGUGAUUUUCUUAAGUGUUUAACUGAUCUGGUGCCCUUUAUCAAGUAACAGCGUCUUUUCGGAAAAAGGUUGGGCUCUUUAGCCAAAUAGCUUCUUGCUAAUUAUGAGCACAUUUCAUUCUAAAGGUCACUUGCUACUUACACACAUGUAAGAAUUUAAAAGUGUACUGUGGGUGUGGUUAUGAGUCCAUCCACUUGUUUUUAUGUAACUUAAUAUGUUAAUAUAGAAAAUAUGAUGUGGUGUUCUUUAAUAAACACACGACACACAGUGGUUUAUUCCUUACAUACAACACAGCAGAUCGCAGAAACAGAAAACGAGCCAACCUGCGUGCGAUAGUACUGCGUUUUCUAAAAAUAAGCACGUUUAAUAAGCAUAAACAUUCAUACAUGUCAACUGAAAGGUUUUCACAUAAAAUUCAUUUUAAAGAAAUAUUUCAAACGAGAUGAACGGGAAUAGGGUGAAGUUUAACGCCAAGAUUUAAAAAAUAACAUCAAUACUUAGAAUUGGAUGAAUGGGAGUACCUCAAGGCUCAGCUCUAGGCACAAUCUAAAUGUCCUAUCUUUAAUAAAGUGCAAUAAAACAAUAAAAAAAAGAAUAAACCUAGAAAUGUCAUAAUGUCUAUUAUAUUGUCAAAUACAUAUUCAGCAAAAUUUAAGAGGGAAAUCAUGUAUUUAGAAUUGGAUUAAUGAAAAACCUCAAGGGUGAGCUGUAGGCCCGAUCAAGAUUAGAAAAAGGACCCAAUAUAAAUGACGUAUCAAAACGAUUCCAUAUUCAUAUUUUCUACCUCACUACAGUCCAGAGAAGCUUUUUUUUAAUGUUCUGAGGAAUGCAAACAAUGGCUCUGCUAAUUAUAUUAUAUAGCGCUUUGUUUUCUAAUGACGUUUUCGGUCCAGAACGUCAGUGUUAUGAAUUAUUCAUAUAUCCUGUGAUCUAGCGGGCAGAGAGUAAUAAAUGCACAUCCGCCCCUCUCCUUUCUGCUUCAGAAAAAUUCAAUCAAAAUGCAGGCUGAUGUAUAUAUCAGACCAUAGUUUUUGUAGGGAAACAAAAAGAAUAGUGUGUAAGUCUUAUCAAAAAGAGAAUAUUCCUUCGGUCACAAAAAAAGCCUGAAAAUCCCACAGACAUAAAUAUCCUACCAUACCAUUCCAUAGAUAUUACCACACCAUAAAUAUUCUACCACUCAGUAUCCACCUUAAGCCUUAUAUUUAUUUACAUUCAUCCAUAUAAUUAUAUAAUUUUUACAGUUUUAUAACAAGAAAGUUUACACUGUGCUAUUUUCGUUGGGACAUUCAGUGUCGCACAUAAGACUCUCGCAUGGUAAAAACAUUCUUCAGCGAUUAAUUGGUAGCUGAUUUAGUACUGUACUUUGGCAACCAAAGACAUCUGACGACAAAGUUCUGUCACCUUGAGAAAUUUUGAAUUAAAAUCUAUGUGAGUGUGAGCGCUGUUGAAAGCCAAUAGUAUGUAUAGUAUGACCAAUAGGAGGAUGGUAUGACCAAUAGGAGGAUGGUAUGAUCAAUAGGAGGCUUGGUAUGAUCAAAAGGAGGAGGUAUGACCAAUAGGAGGAUGGUAUGACCAAUAGAAGACAUGGUAUGACUAAUAGGAAGCAUGGUAUGACCAAUAGGAGACAUGGUAUGACCAAUAGGAGGAUGGUAUGACCAAUAGCAGACAUGGUAUGACCAAUAGGAGGAUGAUAUGACCAAUAAGAGGAUGGUAUGACCAAUAGGAGACAUGAUAUGAUCAAUAGGAGACAUGGUAUGACCAAUAGGAGGACGGUAUGACCAUUAGGAGGCAUGGUAUGACCAAUAGGAGUAUGGUAUGACCAAUAGGAGACAUGGUAUGACCAAUGGGAGGAUGGUAUGACCAAUAGGAGGCAUGGUAUGACGGCGAACUCGCGGGAGAUUUUAUUGACCACUUUAAUUGCAGUGCCUAAGACAGGAUUUGUCUUCAUAAUGAACUGGUUAGUUAAGUACAUUAGCUAGCUAAGGUUAGCAUUUCUGUCCUUUGUAGAAAUUAUUCUAGAUGGUGUUUGUUUGUAAAGAAAUAGAAACUGAGAUAUUGUAUAAGUAUUUCCAGAGCAACUCAAAAAGAAGGAUUUGCUAAGCGCUUUAACUCGACAUAACAUCAAGCUAUUUCAUUUGAGGCCAAAGCCUGGCGGCCAUGUUUUAUUUACUCCUCAUGCAUUAUUGACGCAUAAUUCAGGAUGGAGCUGAUAUCUGUGUCGGGAAGUUAUGACGAUUUCAUUACCUCUCUCUCUCUCUCUCUCUCUCUCCCUCGCUUUGAAAUGCAGAUUGGAGUAUUGCUUACGAGCAUGGUUUACUUACUGGCUGAAGCGUAAAAGUCGUCUUCAAAAGCUGGAGGUCAAGUGUCUAUAGAACCUUUAGUCCAUGUAUCCCUGCACCGUGGCUAAAAUGGAACAAUAUCCUUUUAUCUUUUCUUGUGUUGUGAUCACAAGGGAGCUCAGAAACCCAAAAAAUAAAACAGAAAAAGAUGGUGGAGAUAAGGGAAUUAUGUGUUUUUCACUUCCUCCUCUCCUGCUUUCUUCUGUUUUCCCUGAAUCCCCUAGCGAGAAAAUUGAUGGACUGACAGGACUGACAGGAAAAAUGCAGCGACCCAGAUUGAACUUUCAUGCAAUUUCACUCCAACAAACAUUAGAGGAAGAAAGAAAUAAAGAAAGAGAGAGAGAGAGAGAGAGAGAGAGAGAGAGAGAGAGAAUGUAAGAGAGAGAGUUGGUUUAACAAUUAAAGCCUUACCCUGAUACUAAGGCAUUAGCAAACACCUCAGGCUAAGCUAACACAAAUUAACCUGACUGGAAAUUAAUGACUGUUUCCUCCCCCCUGUUUCUUUCACCAUCAACGUGUUUUUUUUUGUUGUUGUUGUUUUUGUUUUUUUCUGGACAGAUCUACGGCUGCGAUAAAACAACAAACAUUCUGUGUUAUAGAGCACGGUCAUUAGCAAGCUAGCGUAAUGAACCGUUGAUGAGAUUGAAGUAAAUCUUCACUCUGCUUAGUUAAUGUAAUCACUCUCAAAGGCAGGGGCGGGGGGACGCAAUCACGAUACACAUUCUUAUUUACUUAACUUUGUUUUUGUUUUGUUUUUUGUUAUAUCCAAGUCUCUCUUCUGCAGUUGGAAAUUCAACUACGAGAAAACAGGCGGUAGCCUGAUGCUAGCAGAAGCAGAUGGCAAAAAAUUGUAAAUCACUGUAAUGAAAGAGCUCCAAGCCAAACUCAAGAACUUCAUACAUUACAUUCGAUUAAAGAAGCGUGUUAAGACAAUUGUGAGCAUUUGAAGCUUCACCACAUUUAUAUUGUGCACGGUAGAGUAUAUUGUGUUUACUAGCAAAGCUACUGGAAUCAAGACAAAACAAUGGUGUUAAUUGGCAAUUUGCUGUAGGACAAGAGGAAUAGCAUACUCCGUGUCGUGCUGUAAUAGUAAUAUAAUCAGCAACAGAGUGGUGUCAUGACGCGUUGAUUAUUUUCAUAUAACGGCGACGUGUUUUAUUCCUCUUAUACCAGUUCGCGAACAUACGUGGACAGAAUUCUGGGUGCUGAUUGGUCAGAAGGCAUUGCUUAAUUACGAAAAACAAGAAGUGGCUAAUUUGUUUUCCUCUAUAACAGCACAUUCCAUUGUGAGAUUUAUUUUACAUUGUAUUACUCCCUAGAUAAUAGCUUAGUGUAACCGGAGUAGUAAGGAGACGCGAUGGGGGUUGAGAUUCCAAUUCCAAUUUGCAUAUCAUGAAUAUUCAUAAAUCCUUUCAUUCUUUAUGAAUGUAAAGGUGAAGAGAUGUAUGUUCCUGGGUGAUUUUUAGUCAUUUCUCAAUUUAGUAUUCAACCUAGGGAUUUUUUGUUGUUUGUUUGAUUUUGGUAAUGACUUAAAACUAGACAUUCAUGGGUACUUUAACACACAAGUGAGAACUAAUCAGUGUUUUUUGGACACAGUUUGUUAAUGUUCAUGUUUCAUAAUUAUGUUUAUC
This is a long non-coding RNA of Ictalurus punctatus (channel catfish), 4661 nucleotides long. NCBI's taxonomy places the organism in Eukaryota, Metazoa, Chordata, Actinopteri, Siluriformes, Ictaluridae. The record is from Ensembl.